Molecule: ribosomal RNA, 708 nt
Filed under: uncultured bacterium
Lineage: Bacteria
Description: bacterial SSU rRNA
Rfam family: Bacterial small subunit ribosomal RNA
Source: RNAcentral
CUCCCUUCGGGGAGGGGACAGUGGCGCACGGGUGAGUAACACGUGGGUAAUUUACCUUUGGGUGGGGAACAACAGCCGGAAACGGCUGCUAAUACCGCAUAAUGCAGCGGCUCGACAUCGAGACAGUUGUUAAAGCGGGGGAUCGCAAGACCUCGCGCCUAAAGAGAAGCCCGCGGCAGAUUAGCUAGUUGGUAGGGUAAUGGCCUACCAAGGCGACGAUCUGUAACCGGCCUGAGAGGGCGGUCGGUCACACUGACACUGACAUACGGGUCAGCCUCCUACGGGAGGCAGCAGUCGGGAAUUUUGGGCAAUGGGCGAAAGCCUGACCCAGCAACGCCGCGUGAAGGAUGAAGCUUUUCGGAGUGUAAACUUCACAAGAAUGGGAAGAAUAAGUUUAGGAUAAUACCCUGAACGAUGACGGUACCAUUUGUAAGCUCCGGCUAACUCCGUGCCAGCAGCCGCGGUAAUACGGGGGGAGCAAGCGUUGUUCGGAUUUACUGGGCGUAAAGGGCGCGUAGGCGGCGCGACAAGUCACUUGUGAAAUCUCUGGGCUCAACCCAGAACGGUCAAGUGAUACUGUCGUGCUAGAGUGCGGAAGGGGCAACUGGAAUUCUUGGUGUAGCGGUGAAAUGCGUAGAUAUACGGAGGGACACCAGCGGCGAAGGCGGAUAGCUGGGGCAACACUGACGCUGAGACGCGAAAGCUAGG